UACGUAGGGUCCGAGCGUUAUCCGGAUUUAUUGGGUUUAAAGGGUGCGUAGGCGGCUUAUUAAGUCAGGGGUGAAAGACGGUAGCUUACUAUCGCAGUGCCUUUGAUACUGAUGAGCUUGAAUAUACUUGAGGUAGGCGGAAUGUGACAAGUAGCGGUGAAAUGCAUAGAUAUGUCACAGAACACCGAUUGCGAAGGCAGCUUACUAAAGUAUGAUUGACGCUGAGGCACGAAAGCGUGGGGAUCAAACAGG
This 252-nucleotide ribosomal RNA is filed under the name uncultured bacterium. Its description in RNAcentral is "partial 16S ribosomal RNA". It matches the Rfam family "Bacterial small subunit ribosomal RNA", at positions 524 to 776 of the family's 1533-position model. The record is from RNAcentral.